Puntigrus tetrazona (Sumatra barb) is the source of this 439-nucleotide long non-coding RNA. RefSeq lists it as uncharacterized. The record is from RefSeq and is a predicted model, not a curated record. Lineage: Eukaryota; Metazoa; Chordata; Actinopteri; Cypriniformes; Cyprinidae. The transcript has 3 exons.
UACUAUUUCAUACUACACAGUAGAUGGCGAUAAUGCUCUAUUAAGAAAGCAAUCUUCCAAUCAGCUCAAAGUAGAAAGUUUUCUCAGCCGCUGGAUGUCGCUGUACGAGCAGGUCUGCGUGUGAAUAUCAGCCGAAGAAAAGACAACAAUGGCGGCGACCUGCUCGUGGAAGUUAGACAAAGAAACGGGGCAGGAUGCGCUUAUCGGUCACAGGUCUGCUAGACGAAGGCUACUGAUCCUGAUGUGGAGGGCUUGAGGUGGCCACUGUCUUCACAAUGAACCCAGUAGUUGGAAUCAGUUCACACAAAUCCAAAGCUUCCUGAUACAUACACACAUACAUACGGUACAGUAAUCGUGGUAGCAGACUUACCAUCAGUCAGCUGGAAACCAAAGGGCUCUGCAACAAAGUGUGGUUUGGGAUCAGCUGGCUCUGGAUUCG